UUAGUAAAAAGGCACAAGUAAAUAGUACAAAGUGUAAAAAUAUACCAGAUAUAAGAAUACCAGGAGAUGAAGAAAACUGUUAAAAAUGAAUAUAGUGCCGGGAAACAACUGAGAUACGGGACUAUUAAUAAUGUGAAUAUAGUGCAAAAAGUGAUUAUAGUGCUAGAUAAUAAAAUAUAGGAGAUGUAGAGACCAGGGGAUUAAGAAAUGCCAAAUAUGGAAUAUAAUGCGGGAUAAGAACUGAAGGUAGA
Molecule: long non-coding RNA, 251 nt
Organism: Sebastes umbrosus (honeycomb rockfish)
Lineage: Eukaryota; Metazoa; Chordata; Actinopteri; Perciformes; Sebastidae
Exons: 2
Source: RefSeq, a predicted model, not a curated record